GAGUGAUCAAGUGUCUUAAGGGCAUUUGGUGGAUGCCUUGGCAUGCACAGGCGAUGAAGGACGUGAUACGCUGCGAUAAGCGUCGGGGAGGUGCGAAUACCCUUUGAUCCGACGAUUUCCGAAUGGGGCAACCCACCUUAGAUAACUAGAAAAUCUGUUUUGUUGGAGCGAAGCUUUAUGGGUAAGUGCCCAUACAGACCGCUAGGUCGUCGGCCCGUGUGGGCCGCCCCCGCGGAGCGCCAGCAUUCCUCUGGAAUGCGUACGGCGCGUGAGCGAGAACAACACAGCUUUCUAGUUAUCGUAAUAAGGUAUCUAACUCUGAAUACAUAGGGGUUAGAAGCGAACCUGGGGAACUGAAACAUCUAAGUACCCAGAGGAAAGGACAUCAAACGAGACUCCGCUAGUAGUGGCGAGCGAACGCGGACCAGGCCAGUGGCUUUUGUGAAUGAAGUGGAACGAGUUGGAAAACUCGACCGAAGUGGGUGAUAGUCCCGUACACGUAGAAUAGCAGAAGUCCUUGAGUAGGGCGGGACACGUGAAAUCCUGUCUGAACAUGGGUCGACCACGAUCCAAGCCUAAGUACUCGUGCAUGACCGAUAGCGAACCAGUACCGUGAGGGAAAGGUGAAAAGCACCCCGACGAGGGGAGUGAA
RNAcentral lists this ribosomal RNA (652 nucleotides) under Ochrobactrum sp. 27A/999/2015. Its description in RNAcentral is "bacterial LSU rRNA". It matches the Rfam family "Bacterial large subunit ribosomal RNA", at positions 1 to 542 of the family's 2925-position model. The record is from RNAcentral. Lineage: Bacteria; Pseudomonadati; Pseudomonadota; Alphaproteobacteria; Hyphomicrobiales; Brucellaceae.